This 208-nucleotide ribosomal RNA is filed under the name uncultured bacterium. RNAcentral's name for it is "partial 16S ribosomal RNA". It matches the Rfam family "Bacterial small subunit ribosomal RNA", at positions 29 to 233 of the family's 1533-position model. The record is from RNAcentral.
AUUGAACGCUGGCGGCAUGCCUUACACAUGCAAGUCGAACGGCAGCACGGGGGCAACCCUGGUGGCGAGUGGCGAACGGGUGAGUAAUACAUCGGAACGUCGCCCGAGUAGGUGGGGGAUAGGCCCCGGCGAAAGCCGGAUUAAUACCGCAUACGACCUACGGGUGAAAGCGGGGGAUCGCAAGACCUCGUGCUACCGGAGCGGCCGA